This 1251-nucleotide ribosomal RNA is filed under the name Zeacumantus plumbeus. RNAcentral's name for it is "partial 16S ribosomal RNA". The stretch from base 656 to 1251 matches the Rfam family "Archaeal large subunit ribosomal RNA", at positions 1423 to 2681 of the family's 2987-position model. The record is from RNAcentral. Lineage: Eukaryota; Metazoa; Mollusca; Gastropoda; Cerithiidae.
GCUACACGGUUAAAAAUUAAACGAGUCAAAAAUAAAGCUUGAAACAUCAAAAAGUUAAGUAAUGGAGAAAGAAAGUUAAUAAAAAUUUUAAAAAGUACUGUAAAGGAAAAAACCAAAUAUAAAAAAAUUAGUUUAGUUUUGCGUACUUUUUGCAUCACGGCUUAGCAAGAAGUAACCUGAGAUUUCAGAUUCUCGAAAGUUAGUCGAGCUAUUUUUUUCUGGGUAAGUUAGGCCCAAGAAAGUAAAACAAACUACUAAAAAUGUAGCAAAAUUUUAGUAAAAGAGAAAAAUAGAAAUGAAAUUUUAUUCGUGCUAACGGUAGCUAGUUUUCUUGGAAGCGUAUAGAAGUACGGAAGUAAGAUCAGACUAUAAAAAUACUAACUUUUAUAGCCUGCCUUAUAUAAAAUUCUUUUAAGGAUAAGCUUAAAAGUAGAUAGUAGUAAAUAUCUUUAAAUCUGUGAUGUGAGCCUGAGAUUAGCUAACAUUUUAAACUUGUUAUAAAGUAAUAUUAAAAAACAAAAAAAUAAAUAUAUUUUUACUCUAGCUUAUACAGGGACAAAAAAUGAAACCAUUUAAUUUAUUAGCUUAUGCUAAGAUGAGUAUUAAAACUAAAAUAUACCUUAAGAGUUUAACUAUUUUAAUUCUUAUUAACUAGAGUUUUUACCUAAACUAAGUAAAAAGAAAGGAACUCGGCAAAAUAAGUUGUUUCGCCUGUUUAUCAAAAAACAUGGCUCUUCGUAGCAAAAAAAAUGAAGAGUCGGACCUGCCCAGUGAAAAUUUUUAACGGCCGCGGUACUCUGACCGUGCAAAGGUAGCAUAAUCAUUUGCCUUAUAAUUGAAGGCUUGUAUGAAUGGUUUAACGAGAGCAACACUGUCUCCUUUUUAAUUAAUAGAACUUAACCUUCAGGUGAAGAGGCCUGAAUUAAAUUGAAGGACAAGAAGACCCUGUUGAGCUUAAAAGAAAGGUAGAAAGUAAGCUAUUAGCUAUAAAUGCACUACUACUAUAAACUUUUUGGUUGGGGCGACUAAGGAACAAAAAAAGCUUCUUUACACAAAUAAAUUUAUAAAUAGUGAUCCAGUAAAUCUGAUUAAAAGAAUUAGUUACCACAGGGAUAACAGCAUAAUCUCUCUUGAGAGGCCUAAUCGAAAGAGGGGGUUGUGACCUCGAUGUUGGACUAGAAUAUCCUAAAGGCGCAGAAGUCUUUGAAGGUUGGUCUGUUCGACCAUUAAAAUUCUACAUGAUCUGAGUUC